This 494-nucleotide ribosomal RNA is filed under the name uncultured bacterium. RNAcentral describes it as "partial 16S ribosomal RNA". It matches the Rfam family "Bacterial small subunit ribosomal RNA", at positions 28 to 507 of the family's 1533-position model. The record is from RNAcentral.
GACGAACGCUGGCGGCGUGCUUAACACAUGCAAGUCGAACGGUGAAGCGCCUUCCUUUUUGGUGGGUGUGGAUGAGUGGCGAACGUGUGAGUAACACGUGAGUAACCUGCCCCCUUCUUCUGUAUAACCGCAUGAAAGUGUGGCUAAUACGGGAUAUUCUGGGUCUGUCGCAUGAUGGGUCUGGGAAAGAUAUUGUUUCGGUGGGGGAUGGGCUCGCGGCCUAUCAGCUUGUUGGUGGGGUGAUGGCCUACCAAGGCGGUGACGGGUAGCCGGCCUGAGAGGGUGGACGGUCACACUGGGACUGAGACACGGCCCAGACUCCUACGGGAGGCAGCAGUGGGGAAUAUUGCACAAUGGGCGCAAGCCUGAUGCAGCGACGCCGCGUGAGGGAUGGAGGCCUUCGGGUUGUGAACCUCUUUCGCCAGUGAAGCAGGCCUGCCUCGUUUGUGGGUGGGUUGACGGUAGCUGGAUAAGAAGCGCCGGCUAACUACGUG